Molecule: ribosomal RNA, 591 nt
Filed under: Garra joshuai (lipped algae eater)
Lineage: Eukaryota; Metazoa; Chordata; Actinopteri; Cypriniformes; Cyprinidae
Description: Horalabiosa joshuai (lipped algae eater) partial 16S ribosomal RNA
Rfam family: Bacterial large subunit ribosomal RNA
Source: RNAcentral
AAACAUCGCCUCCUGCACUAUACCAUACAUAGGAGGUCCAGCCUGCCCAGUGACUAUGGGUUCAACGGCCGCGGUAUUUUAACCGCGCAAAGGUAGCGUAAUCACUUGUCUUUUAAAUAAAGACCUGUAUGAACGGCUAAACGAAGGCUUAGCUGUCUCCUCUUUUAAAUCAGUGAAAUUGAUCUGCCCGUGCAGAAGCGGGUAUGAUAAUACAAGACGAGAAGACCCUUUGGAGCUUAAGGUACAAAACUCAUCCGCGUCAAGCAACUCAAUAAAAAGCACAAAACCUUACGGAACCUGAAAUUUUACCUUCGGUUGGGGCGACCACGGAGAAGAAUCGAACCUCCAUAGUGGGCUGGGAUAAUUUUCCUAGAACCAAGAGAGACAUCUCUAAGCCACAGAACAUCUGACCAAAUAUGAUCCGGUACCAAAACCGAUCAACGAACCAAGUUACCCCAGGGAUAACAGCGCAAUCCUCUCCCAGAGUUCAUAUCGACGAGGGGGUUUACGACCUCGAUGUUGGAUCAGGACACCCUAAUGGUGCAGCCGCUAUUAAGGGUUCGUUUGUUCAACGAUUAAAGUCCUACGUGA